Molecule: ribosomal RNA, 1004 nt
Filed under: Streptomyces rochei
Lineage: Bacteria; Bacillati; Actinomycetota; Actinomycetes; Kitasatosporales; Streptomycetaceae
Description: bacterial SSU rRNA
Rfam family: Bacterial small subunit ribosomal RNA
Source: RNAcentral
AGUCGAACGAUGAACCACUUCGGUGGGGAUUAGUGGCGAACGGGUGAGUAACACGUGGGCAAUCUGCCCUGCACUCUGGGACAAGCCCUGGAAACGGGGUCUAAUACCGGAUACUGAUCCUCGCAGGCAUCUGCGAGGUUCGAAAGCUCCGGCGGUGCAGGAUGAGCCCGCGGCCUAUCAGCUAGUUGGUGAGGUAACGGCUCACCAAGGCGACGACGGGUAGCCGGCCUGAGAGGGCGACCGGCCACACUGGGACUGAGACACGGCCCAGACUCCUACGGGAGGCAGCAGUGGGGAAUAUUGCACAAUGGGCGAAAGCCUGAUGCAGCGACGCCGCGUGAGGGAUGACGGCCUUCGGGUUGUAAACCUCUUUCAGCAGGGAAGAAGCGAAAGUGACGGUACCUGCAGAAGAAGCGCCGGCUAACUACGUGCCAGCAGCCGCGGUAAUACGUAGGGCGCAAGCGUUGUCCGGAAUUAUUGGGCGUAAAGAGCUCGUAGGCGGCUUGUCACGUCGGUUGUGAAAGCCCGGGGCUUAACCCCGGGUCUGCAGUCGAUACGGGCAGGCUAGAGUUCGGUAGGGGAGAUCGGAAUUCCUGGUGUAGCGGUGAAAUGCGCAGAUAUCAGGAGGAACACCGGUGGCGAAGGCGGAUCUCUGGGCCGAUACUGACGCUGAGGAGCGAAAGCGUGGGGAGCGAACAGGAUUAGAUACCCUGGUAGUCCACGCCGUAAACGGUGGGCACUAGGUGUGGGCAACAUUCCACGUUGUCCGUGCCGCAGCUAACGCAUUAAGUGCGCCGCCUGGGGAGUACGGCCGCAAGGCUAAAACUCACAGGAAUUGACGGGGGCCCGCACAAUCGGCGGAGCAUGUGGCUUAAUUCGACGCAACGCGAAGAAACUUACCAAGGCUUGACAUACACCGGAGAACCUGGAGACAGGUCGGCUUGUGGUCGGUGUACAGAUGAUGCAUGGCUGUCGUCAUCUCGUGUCGUGACAUGUUGGUGUUA